Molecule: long non-coding RNA, 798 nt
Organism: Neocloeon triangulifer
Lineage: Eukaryota; Metazoa; Arthropoda; Insecta; Ephemeroptera; Baetidae
Exons: 3
Source: RefSeq, a predicted model, not a curated record
UUUAAUAGGUGACGUUCCUCUCGCGCUUCCUUGAAAUUUCACCAAUCCUCUCAUGCCCACACACCAGCCCCAUCAUUUUCAAAGCAUGCCUUGCACUAAUUCCACCCUCAUCCACCCCCUUAACCCAGAUUAACGUAGAUGGCUCAUUCCUUUUCACAUUAAUUUUAGAUUUAUUUGUGAUUAAAUUACUGGGUGACCAUCAAAUCUUCCUUCCUUGCCUUCUCUCUCUUCCUGACCAACAUCCUCAAUCCCUUACAAAAUUUCAAGGGGUGCCUUGGCCUGUUUGUCCCACUCGGCUCGUCGUCCACCUUUUUCUCCUUCGCUCGUCUCCUGUUUGAAUCACUUUUAAUUAUUAUUUUUUUAAUAGGUGACGUUCCUCUGGCCCUUCUUUGGUCUUUCAGCAAGCCAUGCAAGCCCACCGAGCAGCAACAUCAUUUGCAAAGCGUGCCUCACUUUCAAUCCACCCUCAACAACCCACGCACAUCGAGUAAAGCAGCUGGCUUAAUAUUUUUGUGACGUUCCUCUGGCCCUUCUUUGGUCUUUCAGCAAGCCAUGCAAGCCCACCGAGCAGCAACAUCAUUUGCAAAGCGUGCCUCACUUUCAAUCCACCCUCAACAACCCACGCACAUCGAGUAAAGCAGCCGGCUUAAUAUUUUUGUGACGUCCCUCUGGCCCUUCUUUGGUCUUUCAGCAAGCCAUGCAAGCCCACCGAGCAGCAACAUCAUUUGCAAAGCGUGCCUCACUUUCAAUCCACCCUCAACAACCCACGCACAUCGAGUAAAGCAGCCGGCUUAAUAU